RNAcentral lists this ribosomal RNA (292 nucleotides) under uncultured bacterium. Its description in RNAcentral is "partial 16S ribosomal RNA". It matches the Rfam family "Bacterial small subunit ribosomal RNA", at positions 505 to 796 of the family's 1533-position model. The record is from RNAcentral.
GUGCCAGCAGCCGCGGUAAUACGUAGGGGGCAAGCGUUGUCCGGAUUUACUGGGCGUAAAGAGCGUGUAGGCGGCCAAGCAGGUCUGUUGUGAAAACUGGAGGCUCAACCUCCAGACGUCGACAGAAACCGCUUGGCUAGAGUCCGGAAGAGGAGAGUGGAAUUCCUGGUGUAGCGGUGAAAUGCGCAGAUAUCAGGAAGAACACCAAUGGCGAAGGCAGCUCUCUGGGACGGUACUGACGCUGAGACGCGAAAGCGUGGGGAGCGAACAGGAUUAGAUACCCCCGUAGUCC